RNAcentral lists this ribosomal RNA (800 nucleotides) under uncultured bacterium. RNAcentral's name for it is "bacterial SSU rRNA". It matches the Rfam family "Bacterial small subunit ribosomal RNA", at positions 8 to 799 of the family's 1533-position model. The record is from RNAcentral.
AGAGUUUGAUCAUGGCUCAGGAUGAACGCUAGCGGCAGGCUUAAUACAUGCAAGUCGAGGGGGAUCAGUUGGGUAGCAAUACCCGGCUGUGAGACCGGCAAACGGGUGCGGAACACGUACGCAACCUUCCCAAAACUGGUGAAUAGCCCUCCGAAAGGAGGAUUAAUACACCGUAACAUAACGAGAUGGCAUCAUCUUGUUAUUAUAGCUCCGGCGGUUUUGGAUGGGCGUGCGCCUGAUUAGGUAGUUGGCGGGGUAACGGCCCACCAAGCCUACGAUCAGUAACUGGUGUGAGAGCACGACCAGUCACACGGGCACUGAGACACGGGCCCGACUCCUACGGGAGGCAGCAGUAAGGAAUAUUGGUCAAUGGACGAAAGUCUGAACCAGCCAUGCCGCGUGAAGGAUGAAGGUCCUCUGGAUUGUAAACUUCUUUUAUCUGGGACGAAAAAAGGUCAUUCCUGACCACUUGACGGUACCAGAGGAAUAAGCACCGGCUAACUCCGUGCCAGCAGCCGCGGUAAUACGGAGGGUGCAAGCGUUAUCCGGAUUUACUGGGUUUAAAGGGUGCGUAGGUGGGUUAGUAAGUCAGUGGUGAAAUCUUCGAGCUUAACUCGGAAACUGCCGUUGAUACUAUUAAUCUUGAAUAUUCUGGAGGUGAGCGGAAUAUGUCAUGUAGCGGUGAAAUGCUUAGAUAUGACAUAGAACACCGAUUGCGAAGGCAGCUCACUACGGAAUCAUUGACACUGAGGCACGAAAGCGUGGGGAUCAAACAGGAUUAGAUACCCUGGUAGUCCACG